RNAcentral lists this ribosomal RNA (240 nucleotides) under Triticum aestivum (bread wheat). RNAcentral's name for it is "partial small subunit ribosomal RNA". The record is from RNAcentral. Lineage: Eukaryota; Viridiplantae; Streptophyta; Magnoliopsida; Poales; Poaceae.
AUGGAUUACAACCCUGAGGUAUUGUGUUGGAAUGUGCGUGGUCUUAACAACCCCGCGAAGAGGAAGACGGUAAAGAGCUUUGUAGCAUCGGUGAGAGUUAACAUGGUGUGCUUGCAAGAAACUAAAUUGGAUGUAGUGGAACACUUUGUGAUAAUGGAAUAUUUAGGCCCGUCAUUUGACGGCCAUGCUUAUUUGCCGGCUACGGACACUCGUGGAGGUAUCUUAUUUGGCAUGGGAUAA